UUGAACGCUGGCGGCAUGCUUUACACAUGCAAGUCGAACGGUAACAGCACUUCGGUGGCUGACGAGUGGCGAACGGGUGAGUAAUACAUCGGAACGUGCCUAGUAGUUGGGGAUAACUACUCGAAAGAGUAGCUAAUACCGCAUGAGAUCUAAGGAUGAAAGCAGGGGACCUUCGGGCCUUGCGCUACUAGAGCGGCUGAUGGCAGAUUAGGUAGUUGGUGGGAUAAAAGCUUACCAAGCCGACGAUCUGUAGCUGGUCUGAGAGGACGACCAGCCACACUGGGACUGAGACACGGCCCAGACUCCUACGGGAGGCAGCAGUGGGGAAUUUUGGACAAUGGGCGCAAGCCUGAUCCAGCAAUGCCGCGUGCAGGAUGAAGGCCUUCGGGUUGUAAACUGCUUUUGUACGGAACGAAAAGCCCUCUUCUAAUACAGGAGGGUCAUGACGGUACCGUAAGAAUAAGCACCGGCUAACUACGUG
RNAcentral lists this ribosomal RNA (481 nucleotides) under uncultured bacterium. RNAcentral's name for it is "partial 16S ribosomal RNA". It matches the Rfam family "Bacterial small subunit ribosomal RNA", at positions 30 to 507 of the family's 1533-position model. The record is from RNAcentral.